AUGAAACACUCCUACGGGAGGCAGCAGUGAGGAAUAUUGGACAAUGGGUGGAAGCCUGAUCCAGCCAUCCCGCGUGCAGGACGACUGCCCUAUGGGUUGUAAACUGCUUUUAUAUAGGGAUAAACCUACUCUCGUGAGAGUAGCUGAAGGUACUAUAUGAAUAAGCACCGGCUAACUCCGUGCCAGCAGCCGCGGUAAUACGGAGGGUGCAAGCGUUAUCCGGAUUUAUUGGGUUUAAAGGGUCCGUAGGUGGGCUGAUAAGUCAGCGGUGAAAUCCUGCAGCUUAACUGUAGAACUGCCGUUGAUACUGUUAGUCUUGAGUGUAUUUGAAGUGGCUGGAAUAAGUAGUGUAGCGGUGAAAUGCAUAGAUAUUACUUAGAACACCAAUUGCGAAGGCAGGUCACUAAGAUACAACUGACGCUGAGGGACGAAAGCGUGGGGAGCGAACAGGAUUAGAAACCCCUGUAGUCCGAAGUUC
Molecule: ribosomal RNA, 478 nt
Filed under: uncultured bacterium
Lineage: Bacteria
Description: bacterial SSU rRNA
Rfam family: Bacterial small subunit ribosomal RNA
Source: RNAcentral